Molecule: transfer RNA, 68 nt
Filed under: Roseovarius lutimaris
Lineage: Bacteria; Pseudomonadati; Pseudomonadota; Alphaproteobacteria; Rhodobacterales; Roseobacteraceae
Description: tRNA_Met_CAT
Rfam family: tRNA
About the family: Transfer RNA (tRNA) molecules are approximately 80 nucleotides in length. Their secondary structure includes four short double-helical elements and three loops (D, anti-codon, and T loops).
Source: RNAcentral
UUCGGCCAAAACAGCGCAUCAGGCUCAUAACCUGAAGGUCGUAGGUUCAAAUCCUACUCCCGCAACCA